This 55-nucleotide transfer RNA is filed under the name Nippostrongylus brasiliensis. RNAcentral describes it as "tRNA-Asp". Lineage: Eukaryota; Metazoa; Nematoda; Chromadorea; Rhabditida; Heligmosomidae. The record is from RNAcentral.
AAAAUCUUAGUAUAUUAAGUACAAUUUAUUGUCAAUAAAUAGGUUGAGGAUUUUA